AGUUUGCUAAAACGAUGGUUUAGACAAGAUUCAAAAAAGGAGGACAUAAAUGAGCAUGGCUGAAAACAACGCCCCAGUUGAUUCUGCUGCCUUACGGGAUGUCAAGACAGGGACAACAAUAGACACACCCGAAACGAAUGUCUCAUUGGAAAAAGAAACGGACGUUAAGCGUGGUCAAGAAUCCAAAUCAGAUGGGUA
Long non-coding RNA from Mya arenaria, 198 nucleotides. RefSeq lists it as uncharacterized. The transcript has 3 exons. The record is from RefSeq and is a predicted model, not a curated record. Lineage: Eukaryota; Metazoa; Mollusca; Bivalvia; Myida; Myidae.